RNAcentral lists this ribosomal RNA (253 nucleotides) under uncultured bacterium. RNAcentral describes it as "partial 16S ribosomal RNA". It matches the Rfam family "Bacterial small subunit ribosomal RNA", at positions 524 to 776 of the family's 1533-position model. The record is from RNAcentral.
UACGAAGGGGGCUAGCGUUGUUCGGAAUCACUGGGCGUAAAGGGCGCGUAGGCGGCCUUAUAAGUCGGGGGUGAAAGCCUGUGGCUCAACCACAGAAUUGCCUUCGAUACUGUAGAGCUUGAGACCGGAAGAGGUAAGUGGAACUGCGAGUGUAGAGGUGAAAUUCGUAGAUAUUCGCAAGAACACCAGUGGCGAAGGCGGCUUACUGGUCCGGUUCUGACGCUGAGGCGCGAAAGCGUGGGGAGCAAACAGG